CCGUUUGACCUCUCUCCUAUUUGUGAAUUUGAAAGGAUCAAUAUCCAUAUCUGUUUCUUGAUUUCUGGAAUAAUGCCUAAUUAUAUCUGUUUCUUGAUUUCUGCAACAAUAAAAAUUUGUUUUCUUGAGCUAUACUAGAAAUCCUAAAAGAAUUGCGUCCUGGUAAGAAUAACACGGCAAGGAGGAAGAGAUCCAGGCAGCUUGAGAAAACCUAUUAUCAGUGUUAUGGAUUCCAUUGGGGUGCCUCGAUUGGAGGAGAUCUUUGUUGGUGGAUUAGAUCCAUCUGUCAGAUGAAGCUUUGAAACUCUUAUUUGCCCAAUAUGGAUAAGUUGUGGAUUUGUUCAGCUUAGGAGCAGAGCCUGCACAGAGGAGGCUAUGGUAAUGCUUCACAGCACUGUACUUGGUGAACAAUCAAUUCGUCUUUCAUGGGGGUGGAGUCCUGCUAAUAAGCAGGCAACUUUCUUUGCAACAGGGUUUGUUAGUAUUGAAUUUUUUUAUGCAGUUCAAAUUGUAUGACACGAGUCAUACUCGUUUUACCAGUCUGCAGGAUGGGGCCAACCUCAAGAACCAGAUUCAAAUCAGUGGAAUGGGGCUUAUUAUGGAUAUGGACAAGGGCAUGAUUCUAUCAAUGGUUAUGCUCAACAACCACAAGACCCAAAUGUGUAUGUUAUGGAUCCUAUGCAUAUGGAAACUAUCAGCAACAGGUAAAUUAGUUCUGGAGCAUGGUUGUGAUGAUGCAUUCUAAUCUGUUAUUUAGCAUUACUUUAUACUAAAGCUACUUUGUCUCUUCUUGCAGUUUAUGACUAUACUGCAAUAUUUGAUAGUGUUAAAUAAAAAAUUAGGAUUGUUGCAUUGCA
This is a long non-coding RNA of Cryptomeria japonica (Japanese cedar), 857 nucleotides long. RefSeq lists it as uncharacterized. The record is from RefSeq and is a predicted model, not a curated record. The transcript has 3 exons. Lineage: Eukaryota; Viridiplantae; Streptophyta; Pinopsida; Cupressales; Cupressaceae.